Molecule: ribosomal RNA, 930 nt
Filed under: uncultured bacterium
Lineage: Bacteria
Description: bacterial SSU rRNA
Rfam family: Bacterial small subunit ribosomal RNA
Source: RNAcentral
UAGAGUUUGAUCCUGGCUCAGGAUGAACGCUGGCGGCGUGCCUAAUACAUGCAAGUCGAACGCACAGCGAAAGGUGCUUGCACCUUUCAAGUGAGUGGCGAACGGGUGAGUAACACGUGGAUAACCUACCUCAAGGUUGGGGAUAACAUUUGGAAACAGAUGCUAAUACCGAAUAAAACUUAGUAUCGCAUGAUACCAGGUUAAAAGGCGCUACGGCGUCACCUAGAGAUGGAUCCGCGGUGCAUUAGUUAGUUGGUGGGGUGAAGGCUUACCAAGACAAUGAUGCAUAGCCGAGUUGAGAGACUGAUCGGCCACAUUGGGACUGAGACACGGCCCAAACUCCUACGGGAGGCUGCAGUAGGGAAUCUUCCACAAUGGGCGAAAGCCUGAUGGAGCAACGCCGCGUGUGUGAUGAAGGCUUUCGGGUCGUAAAGCACUGUUGUAUGGGAAGAACAGCUAGAGUAGGGAAUGACUUUAGUUUGACGGUACCAUACCAGAAAGGGACGGCUAAAUACGUGCCAGCAGCCGCGGUAAUACGUAUGUCCCGAGCGUUAUCCGGAUUUAUUGGGCGUAAAGCGAGCGCAGACGGUUAAUUAAGUCUGAUGUGAAAGCCCGGAGCUCAACUCCGGAAAGGCAUUGGAAACUGGUUAACUUGAGUGCAGUAGAGGUAAGUGGAACUCCAUGUGUAGCGGUGGAAUGCGUAGAUAUAUGGAAGAACACCCAGCGGCGAAGGCGGCUUACUGGACUGUAACUGACGUUGAGGCUCGAAAGUGUGGGUAGCAAACAGGAUUAGAUACCCUGGUAGUCCACACCGUAAACGAUGAACACUAGGUGUUAGGAGGUUUCCGCCUCUUAGUGCCGAAGCUAACGCAUUAAGUGUUCCGCCUGGGGAGUACGACCGCAAGGUUGAAACUCAAAGGAAUUGACGGG